Molecule: non-coding RNA, 115 nt
Organism: Triticum aestivum (bread wheat)
Lineage: Eukaryota; Viridiplantae; Streptophyta; Magnoliopsida; Poales; Poaceae
Source: Rfam
AUAAUACUCCCUCCGUCCGGAAUUACUUGUCAUCAAAAUGGAUGUGUCUAGAACUAAAAUACAUCUAGAUACAUCCAUUACAAUGACAAGUAUUUUCGGAUGGAGGGAGUAGUAG